Molecule: non-coding RNA, 1207 nt
Organism: Podarcis lilfordi (Lilford's wall lizard)
Lineage: Eukaryota; Metazoa; Chordata; Lepidosauria; Squamata; Lacertidae
Source: the annotation of a GenBank genome assembly
UGGAAAAUAAAACACCAAGGUGGCUUUCACCUUUGGAAGCUAAGGCCCGAACAAGACCCAAUAUGGAGGCCAAAUGGCCAAAAUAUUGGGAAAUAUUAGAAACAGAUGGAGACAAUUGGAAAUUGCAGAGUUUGGAGAAAAUGAAAGACAAAGUGCGAGAUUGGUUACACUAUGCUCAGAUUAAAGAAGUUUUUAAAAAUGAUAAGAAACUAGGGUUCCAGGUGGAGAAAUCGAAAUUAGAAACAGAAUUGUUAGAACCAAAGAUUAAGAUACUUUCAAGGAUGUAUAACUUGCUGUUGGAAUGGAAUACACAAGAUGAAAUGGUUAAAUCGGCUAUGAUAAGGUGGGCACAGGAUAUUGGGCAUAAUAUUAUGUUUGAGGACUGGGAAAGGCUGUGGAGUAAUGGAUUGAAAUUUACUGCAUGUAAUGCUUUGAAAGAAAAUGUAAUGAAAAUGAUUUAUAGAUGGUAUAUGACCCCAGUCAAACUCGCAAAAAUUUACCACCUGUCUGAUAACAAGUGCUGGAAAUGUAAAGAGUGUGAAGGAACGUUCUUUCACCUCUGGUGGACCUGCCCUAAAGUGAAGGCGUUCUGGGAAAUGAUUUAUAAUGAACUGAAAAAGGUAUUUAAAUAUACUUUCACUAAGAAACCAGAGGCUUUCCUUUUGGGUAUUGUCAGCCAAGGGGUGGCAAAGAAGGACCAGACAUUUUUAUGUAUGCAACAACAGCAGCAAGGAUACUACUCGCAAAACAUUGGAAAACUCAAGAUCUACCCACACUGGAAGAAUGGCAGAUGCAACUGAUAGACUAUAUGCAACUGGCUGAAAUGACUGGCAGAAUCCGUGACCUGGGAGAAGAGAGAAUCGAGGAGGAUUGGAAGAAAUUUAAGAACUAUCUACAAAAACAUUGUGAUUUGACUGAAUGCUGAAUAAGAUGCUAGACUAAAUAACUGAGCACCACUUAACCUAGAAAUUUUUAAGAAAAUAAGAAAAACUGUGAAAGUUUAACUCUUUAUGAGAACUUUAAGAUUAUGAAAUAUUGAAGAGAUAUAAGAACUUAAAUAAGAUGAUAAAUUGCUGACAAAAUGUUAUAAUGAUGAAGGUGGGAGCGGGAGAUGUGAGGAAGUCCAAAGAAAAUGUGAAACUAUGUUAAGACGAAUGUUAUAUUGUUUAUUACAUUUAUUCUUAUUGUAAAAUCCAAUAAAUUGCUU